GAUCCUGGCUCAGGAUGAACGCUAGCGACAGGCUUAACACAUGCAAGUCGAGGGGCAGCGAGGGAGUGGCAACACUUCCGUCGGCGACCGGCGCACGGGUGAGUAACGCGUAUGCAACCUGCCCUUCACAGGGGGGAUAACCGGGAGAAAUUCCGACUAAUACCGCAUACGUCCUCCGGGGGCAUCCCCGGGGGAUGAAAGAAUUAUCGGUGAAGGAUGGGCAUGCGUGAUAUUAGGUAGUUGGCGGGGCAACGG
RNAcentral lists this ribosomal RNA (255 nucleotides) under uncultured bacterium. RNAcentral describes it as "partial 16S ribosomal RNA". It matches the Rfam family "Bacterial small subunit ribosomal RNA", at positions 15 to 263 of the family's 1533-position model. The record is from RNAcentral.